This 274-nucleotide ribosomal RNA is filed under the name uncultured bacterium. Its description in RNAcentral is "partial 16S ribosomal RNA". It matches the Rfam family "Bacterial small subunit ribosomal RNA", at positions 523 to 796 of the family's 1533-position model. The record is from RNAcentral.
AUACGGAGGGUGCAAGCGUUACUCGGAAUCACUGGGCGUAAAGCGCGCGCAGGCGGCUACUUAAGUUGGAUGUGAAAGCCUACGGCUCAACCGUAGAACUGCAUCCAAAACUAUUUAGCUAGAGUGUGGGAGAGGAAGAUGGAAUUAGUUGUGUAGGGGUAAAAUCCGUAGAGAUAACUAGGAAUACCAAAAGCGAAGGCAAUCUUCUGGAACACUACUGACGCUGAGGCGCGAAAGCGUGGGGAGCAAACGGGAUUAGAAACCCUAGUAGUCC